RNAcentral lists this unclassified non-coding RNA (422 nucleotides) under Bombus terrestris (buff-tailed bumblebee). Its description in RNAcentral is "misc RNA ENSBTSG00005026565.1". The record is from RNAcentral. Lineage: Eukaryota; Metazoa; Arthropoda; Insecta; Hymenoptera; Apidae.
CCUUCAUCUCGGAUACCCCAUUCGUUCCACUCUCCUUUGUAUACAUAAGCAGAAAAUUCCGACCAGGUCAUUUUAUUCGGCAGUUGGCAACUAAACAGACGUAUAUGUUGUCACAGAUUUGUGCACAAUUCAACGUACAAUUCUCUGUGGUAGUAACGAUAAUUUUUCGCAAAUAUCUCGGAAAUUAAGGCCGAUCGCCAGUUACAUAUAUAAGAAAAAGUUGUUCGGAAUCAUGGCUCCACCACAUAUUAAAAAAUCAUCGAAAUCAGAAAGGUUGAGUUCGAUCUGUACAUUUACCAAUAACUACAAUAAAUGAAGUUUGAUAAAUUGCGAUGAUUUUAUGGUACCGAAACCGUUGUAUACGAAACGUAAAACGUGAGAGAAAAUGAAAAUGUCAAGACAAUAUAAAAGACAAAGAAAAG